Molecule: ribosomal RNA, 465 nt
Filed under: Vreelandella stevensii
Lineage: Bacteria; Pseudomonadati; Pseudomonadota; Gammaproteobacteria; Oceanospirillales; Halomonadaceae
Description: partial 16S ribosomal RNA
Rfam family: Bacterial small subunit ribosomal RNA
Source: RNAcentral
CCUACGGGUGGCUGCAGUGGGGAAUAUUGGACAAUGGGCGAAAGCCUGAUCCAGCCAUGCCGCGUGUGUGAAGAAGGCCUUCGGGUUGGAAAGCACUUUCAGUGGGGAAGAAAGCCUUGGGGCUAAUACCCUCGAGGAAGGACAUCACCCACAGAAGAAGCACCGGCUAACUCCGUGCCAGCAGCCGCGGUAAUACGGAGGGUGCGAGCGUUAAUCGGAAUUACUGGGCGUAAAGCGCGCGUAGGCGGUCUGAUAAGCCGGUUGUGAAAGCCCCGGGCUCAACCUGGGAACGGCAUCCGGAACUGUCAGGCUAGAGUGCAGGAGAGGAAGGUAGAAUUCCCGGUGUAGCGGUGAAAUGCGUAGAGAUCGGGAGGAAUACCAGUGGCGAAGGCGGCCUUCUGGACUGACACUGACGCUGAGGUGCGAAAGCGUGGGUAGCAAACAGGAUUAGAUACCCUGGUAGUC